RNAcentral lists this ribosomal RNA (464 nucleotides) under uncultured bacterium. RNAcentral's name for it is "partial 16S ribosomal RNA". It matches the Rfam family "Bacterial small subunit ribosomal RNA", at positions 28 to 507 of the family's 1533-position model. The record is from RNAcentral.
GACGAACGCUGGCGGCGUGCUUAACACAUGCAAGUCGUACGGUAAGGCCCUUUCGGGGGUACACGAGUGGCGAACGGGUGAGUAACACGUGAGUAACCUGCCCACAACUUUGGGAUAACGCUAGGAAACUGGUGCUAAUACUGGAUAUGUGCUCCUGCUGCAUGGGGGGGGUUGGAAAGCUCCGGCGGUUGUGGAUGGACUCGCGGCCUAUCAGCUUGUUGGUGGGGUAGGGGCCUACCAAGGCGGCGACGGGUAGCCGGCCUGAGAGGGUGACCGGCCACAUUGGGCCUGCGAUACGGCCCAGCACCCUACGGGAGGCAGCGGUGGGGAAUAUUGCACAAUGGGCGCAAGCCUGAUGCAGCAACGCCGCGUGCGGGAUGCCGGCCUUCGGGUUGUAAACCGCUUUCGCCUGUGACGAAGUGUGAGUGACGGUAAUGGGUAAAGAAGCACCGGCUAACUACGUG